AGGCUGAUGCGGGAAAAUAUGUCUGUGUUGCGAAAAAUGAUGCUGGCUCUAAGGCAAGCACUGUACAGGAUUUCGUUGUAUACUACUCUCCUAGAAUAGACCCAGAGGCCAAAAUGAAGUAUGACGUGGAAGGAGAGAUAGGCAAGGAGGCAUCAUUCGAACUUUUCAUAAUCGCCAAACCGACUCCGGCAACAACUGGUUACAUUUGGUCCAAAGCUGACAUUAAACUUUCAAACUCAUCGUCCAAAUAUGAAAUCACAUCCGGGUCGACGUCGAGCAAGUUGUCAAUCAAAAACGUCACAUCCUCCGAUUAUGAUAACUAUACGUGUUCUGUGCAAACGAGCGGAUUUCAAGCGAUGGUUUUCAAAUUUAAGCUCCUCAAACCAGGUACUCUUCAGUUAACGGUCACCAAUACCAUCAGCAAUUUACGUCCACGUCUCGGAGAAACGAUAAAGCUGAAUUGUAACAUUGUGCAUGGAAACGCUAGCGGUGUUGCAUGG
Molecule: long non-coding RNA, 500 nt
Organism: Lineus longissimus
Lineage: Eukaryota; Metazoa; Nemertea; Pilidiophora; Heteronemertea; Lineidae
Exons: 3
Source: RefSeq, a predicted model, not a curated record